GCGAGGGUGGCGGAAUUGGUAGACGCGCUGGACUUAGGAUCCAGUGGCUUGCUCCGUGCGGGUUCGAGUCCCGCCCCUCGCACCA
RNAcentral lists this transfer RNA (85 nucleotides) under Nitrospinota bacterium. RNAcentral describes it as "tRNA-Leu". It matches the Rfam family "tRNA". Rfam says of the family: Transfer RNA (tRNA) molecules are approximately 80 nucleotides in length. Lineage: Bacteria; Pseudomonadati; Nitrospinota. The record is from RNAcentral.